Molecule: microRNA, 20 nt
Filed under: Panagrellus redivivus
Lineage: Eukaryota; Metazoa; Nematoda; Chromadorea; Rhabditida; Panagrolaimidae
Description: prd-miR-234-5p
Gene: prd-miR-234-5p
Source: miRBase by way of RNAcentral
CGGUAUUCUCGGGUAAUGAC